Molecule: long non-coding RNA, 1927 nt
Filed under: Marmota monax (woodchuck)
Lineage: Eukaryota; Metazoa; Chordata; Mammalia; Rodentia; Sciuridae
Source: RNAcentral
GUUUUAUACACACACACACACACACACACACACACACAUAUAUAUAUAUAUAUAUCCUUGUUUUUGUAUAUUUUAAAAUACUAACUUUAUAUACAUUUUAUAUGAAGACAGCUUUAGAGUUAAAUGAAGAACAUUAAUAUGGUCUUCACUAGUAAGUUUUCCAACCUCAACAUUAACCAUUAGAUAUUAAGGAAUGUGAUGUAUGUUCCUCAUGAAGCAGUGGUCCCAUUUAAUACAGAAACCAUUGGAGAAAACACCUUUAUAAGACUCAGCUUUAUAAGAUAGGGACAAAAUGCUGAAAAGAUUCUGAUGAAGAAGUCAGAUCCAGCUGGAGAGAUGCGGAGGUCAGUUACAACUGGGUAACUGCAUUUUGGUUUGCUCAUUGAAGAACAGUUGAGUUCAAUUGUAGGGGGUUGGAUAGAAUUUGGUCAGCUCCAAUUGGCUUGGAGUUGCCCACAGGAACAAUAUGCUCAUUGAAAAAUGGGCACCAGAACAAAGAGAAAAGCAUAGUCGUGAGAAAUGUUAACCCCAAUCCCAUUCACAAUGCCCAGACUAACAAAUAAAUCCAGAUUCUUAGAAUCUACAAAUGCCUUUCUGAAGUCGCAAGUAGUUUUUUUCUUAAUUUAGGCCUGAAAUGGAUUUAAACGGCAUGGUCUUGGAAAUUGAUAAUUUCCUUCUUUCUUUCAGGACUCUCUCUCUUCUUUGUUCCUUUAUGACAUGUUUUAUAAUUUCAUUAAUCAUUCAGAACUUGGAUAAAUAUUAUUGUGUAAUCCUAUUCAUUUGACCUGUACCUAUUUGUUACCCAAUGUUUCUGAUAUAUGUUAAUAGAAAAAUAACUCAAGAAAUAUUUGAGAAAGAAAAUAAGUUUUAGUUCUUUAAACAACUGUAUUAACAACUAUAUUAUUGUAAAGUAAUGACGGUAUACUUCUAUUUAAUAAAUCACAUAAAUUUGCUAUUUAAUCUCCAAUUAUCUCAGGCAAUAAAUAACAGAAAAAAAUUCUUAAUAAAUUCCAAAAUAAAAUCUUUUAUAAUUGAUAAAUCUUUUAUCUGUUUUGCAAAAAAUCUGGAAGAAUUCAGGAAGUUUGUUGCAUCUUUUCUUUUUCUUUAUUGAAGUAUAUUGCUUGUAUUUUUGGCCCAUUGAGAAAGAUCAACUAAUAAGAAAAUAAGGAAAAGUCAGCAAUGAAAAGGGAGGACAAAUAAUCCAAGUUAUUUCUCAAUAAAGCUGGUAUAAAAAUUCCAGUUUACAAUAUUAUUUAUAAAAUGUUUUAGAGAGAUAAAAUUAUCUUUGCAUAAGAAAAUUAUGUGCACUUUUUAGAAAUGGUCAAUGUUGCCUUAAUUUUCUGACUAGAUCUUGACAUUUGAAGAAAAAAUACUUAGAUCUUUCUUCUCACAUGAAUAUGUGAAGAUGGUACUCUUGCAUACUGGAAAACAAUGUUAAUCCAGCAGAGAAUGAAUCAACUCUAUCAUGUGUAACAGUUUGGCUAUUGGCUAUGGCUUCAUCUAAAUGAAAUGGAAGCAUUAAUAUCAUUUCCUGUCUGCUGUGUGAACAGCUUCCUUUCUCCACGAGUACUGAUAUUAGCAGCAGAACUAUGAUCUUAUUAGUUGCAAAUUAUUAAAUUCCUGCAUCUGUUAUUUAUUGCCUGAGAUAAUUGGAUAUUAAAGAGCUAUUUCCUAUGAUGGCUGGCAGAAUUAUGAGUUAAUAUAUCAGCAGGAUAGUAGGUGAGCUAAAAAUUGAUCUAUUCUUUACCUAGCCCAUCAUCCCCUGCAACUAUAGGGUCUUACACAUAUAAUCUAUGAGAAAAAUCAUGAUAUAACUAAGGGGUAAGCAAAUUAAAAAAUCAGGAGAGGAAUGUCACUGUAUCCAUCAAAAAUAAUACAUUAUAAGAGACAAAGAAGGGUAGUGGAAAUGAUCCAGAUUAAUAGAGGC